RNAcentral lists this ribosomal RNA (253 nucleotides) under uncultured bacterium. RNAcentral describes it as "partial 16S ribosomal RNA". It matches the Rfam family "Bacterial small subunit ribosomal RNA", at positions 524 to 776 of the family's 1533-position model. The record is from RNAcentral.
UACGUAGGAGGCGAGCGUUGUCCGGAGUUACUGGGCGUAAAGCGUGCGCAGGCGGUUAUUUAAGUUAGGUGUGAAAGCCCCGGGCUUAACUUGGGAAUUGCGCUCGAAACUACGUGGCUGGAGUGUGGCAGAGGAAGGUGGAAUUCCAGGUGUAGCGGUGAAAUGCGUAGAGAUCUGGAGGAACACCGAUGGCGAAGGCAGCCUUCUGGGCCAACACUGACGCUCAUGCACGAAAGCGUGGGGAGCAAACAGG